This is a long non-coding RNA of Hippocampus zosterae (dwarf seahorse), 449 nucleotides long. RefSeq lists it as uncharacterized. Lineage: Eukaryota; Metazoa; Chordata; Actinopteri; Syngnathiformes; Syngnathidae. The record is from RefSeq and is a predicted model, not a curated record. The transcript is spliced from 2 exons.
GACCCUGCAGGUGCUCAGUGUGCAGGGGCUGACCAGGCGUGAACGACAGAGCCGAGCCAAAGUCCACAAUCUUCAGGUGGUUGCCGUCGUCCACUAGCAUGUUGUCGGACUUGAGGUCCAAGUGGACCACUCGCCGGCCAUGAAGGUAACAUGGAGCCUGUGGCUGUGCUGGCUGAUCCAUGCAUGCUGGCUGAGGAACCUCUGCAAUACCACCCUCAGCUCUGAAGACCAAAAAGCAAUCCGGGGUUACUGGUUCAAGUUCACAAGUGAAUAUUUGGAGGAUUGUUCAGAUGUUCUGGCCUAGGGAUGGGCAACUGAAAUGACGGUGGGGGUCACAAUUGUCAUCAGCGCUAUCGGUGGGCCACAUAGGAAAAUGCACAUCCUAACAAGCUGUAUGACAAAAAUUGUAUUUUAAUAAUGGCUAAAAUACAUGCGUAUGUGAAAAAUAA